This 489-nucleotide ribosomal RNA is filed under the name uncultured bacterium. RNAcentral's name for it is "partial 16S ribosomal RNA". It matches the Rfam family "Bacterial small subunit ribosomal RNA", at positions 30 to 507 of the family's 1533-position model. The record is from RNAcentral.
UUGAACGCUGGCGGCAGGCCUCACACAUGCAAGUCGCACGGUAACAGGAAACAGCUUGCUGUUUCGCUGACGAGUGGCGGACGGGUGAGUAAUGUCUGGGAAACUGCCUGAUGGAGGGGGAUAACUACUGGAAACGGUAGCUAAUACCGCAUAACGUCGCAAGACCAAAGAGGGGGACCUUCGGGCCUCUUGCCAUCGGAUGUGCCCAGAUGGGAUUAGCUAGUAGGUGGGGUAACGGCUCACCUAGGCGACGAUCCCUAGCUGGUCUGAGAGGAUGACCAGCCACACUGGAACUGAGACACGGUCCAGACUCCUACGGGAGGCAGCAGUGGGGAAUAUUGCACAAUGGGCGCAAGCCUGAUGCAGCCAUGCCGCGUGUAUGAAGAAGGCCUUCGGGUUGUAAAGUACUUUCAGCGGGGAGGAAGGGAGUAAAGUUAAUACCUUUACUCAUUGACGUUACCCGCAGAAGAAGCACCGGCUAACUCCGUG